This is a long non-coding RNA of Theobroma cacao (cacao), 1231 nucleotides long. RefSeq lists it as uncharacterized. The record is from RefSeq and is a predicted model, not a curated record. NCBI's taxonomy places the organism in Eukaryota, Viridiplantae, Streptophyta, Magnoliopsida, Malvales, Malvaceae.
CUUCCGCUUCCAAAGUGUUAAAUGGUAAGGCAAACUUCUUCAAACAGUUCGUGCAUUUAGUUUCAUAGAACUGCUUUUUUCUUUUAAUUCCUUCUGUGCUUCGAGGUUUUUUUGGCUGUUUUUGAAUGGGACUGAGCUGAUGGAGGCUUUUAUAAUAAUAAACCUAUUGAGGAGAUGAAAGAUAAUGUGACAGGGGAUUCUGUCAACAAGAAGCUUUGCAUGCUUGCCACAGUGUCAAUAUUGUUGCUGAUGCUCUUAUCUCUGAUUUCAAUGCCAUGGUUGUCAAUCUCAUUGCACCCCCUCUAGGCUGUCUUCUCUUCUUCCUUUCUACCCCAUUUUUAUUGAAACGGUGCGUUGGGGUCUUCUCCUUGUGACUGUCUUCUUUUCAACCCGAUCACCUCUGCUCAGCUCCUGAGAAAGGGAAAUGAGUGCGAAAAGUAAAAUCACCUCGAGAUAUUUGCAGAACUCGAGGUCUUUCAAUUGAGAAGGGAUCAUUUGCGUGUUCUUUGCUGCCACUGCAACCACUGCUGCUGCUACUUUUGCUUUUUUUCAUAGGUUACUCAGGUUCAUUUACCCCCAGAGAUAGGGCGUGCCUCUUUCAGCUGAACACUGUUAAGGACCCUAGUGUCAAGAGAUUGAGGAGGAUGGCAAUCAUGUUCUAUAUUUAUGUCAAAUGUUCUUGCAGUUCCGGUGCAAGUUACUUCCUCCCAUGAUGCUAUUUUGGUCUCAUCCCUUUUGCAUCAAAUUCCUCUUGCAAUGCUUGUGAGACUUUUCUGGAUUGCUCUGGUGGUUUGCUGUCCAUAUAUUCUGCUGCCUCUCCAUGGCUAGUAAGAUAUGAGUCUGGCUUUAAUGAGAAAAAGUGGUGGGCUGAUGAGAUUAUUUUUCUUUGUAAGCUUUGUUCUCUGCAUUGGGUUAGAGCUUGGGCUGAUGGCAUCUUGUUUUUGGACUAAGAUUCUGUGGCUUUAAGGAGACUUGGUGAAGUCUUUGAAGCAUGUUGCCCUGUCAAAUUUAUCACCUGUUGAUUGUCAGUGGCAUCCAGAAGAAGUGAAUGGUUAUCUAUCACCUCUGCAAGCAGCUGGAUUUCCAGUUCUCUUUCUCCCAUUUGUAUUUUUUCCUUCCCCUAAAAAGUUGCCAAGAUAGGCCUUGGGUUUCUUCCUAUGUAUUUCAACUGUUUGUUCAUUCAUAGCUCCCUGUGUAUCACAACUUGUCCUGAAAAUUUUAAUUUAGUAUU